Non-coding RNA from Camellia sinensis, 1818 nucleotides. The record is from RefSeq and is a predicted model, not a curated record. Lineage: Eukaryota; Viridiplantae; Streptophyta; Magnoliopsida; Ericales; Theaceae.
UAAUUUUGGCCGGUGGAAGGAGGCUACUGGAAUGUUCAGAGAAAUGUUGGAUGGUGGUAUUGCUCCGGAUGUUCGUACGUAUAAUGUGUUGCUGGAUGCAUGUACCAAGGAAGGCAAGAUGAAAGAGGCAGUGGGGGUACUUGAAGGCAUGAUACAAAGCGGUGUGGAUCCUGAUGUAGUCACAUACAGUACUCUAAUGGAUGGAUAUUGUUUGCAAGGCCAAAUGGAUGAAGCAAUCAGAGUGUUGAAUACCAUGGUGGAGAGGGGCCUUCACCCUGAUGUUUUUAGCUAUAACAUUCUAAUCAAUGGAUAUUGCAAGAAAAUGAAAAUAGAUGAGGCCAUGCUUCUCUUUCGAGCAUUGCCUCGAAGCGGGUUGAAACCCAACAAUUUAACUUUCAACGCUAUGUUAUGGGGUUUGUUUCAAACGGGUAGAUGUGGAGCUGCUCAAAAACUUUUCAAUGAUAUGCAAGCUGCAGGCAUAUAUCCAGAUUCUCAAACUUAUGGUAUCUUAUUGGAUGGGUUGUGUAAAAAUGGGCAUAUUUAUGAAGCAUUGUCAUUAUUCCACAUGAUGGAAAGCAACAGUUUACAUCUUGAUAUUGUUAAGUAUAAUAUCCUCAUUGAUGCAUUCUGCAAGGAUAAAAAGCUUGACACUGCAAGGGCCAUUUUCAGUAACCUUUCUUCCAAGAGAUUACAACCAAAUGUUAAGACAUACACUAUGAUGAUCCGAGGUCUUUGUGAAGAAGGCCUACUGCAUGAAGCUAAAGAGUUGUUUGUUAAAAUGGAACAGAGUGGUUGUUUGCCAAAUGAUGUCACUUACAACACUAUUAUCCGAGGAUUUAUUGGACAACACAAGUGCUAUGAGGCAUUAAUACUCGUUGAGGAAAUGGUUCAAAGGGGUUUUUCGGCAGAUGCAUUCAAUUUUCCCUUGAUCGUAGAUAUACUCUCAACUAAAGGACAAGAUCCUGCUCUCCGAGAAGUGAUAAAGAAGUUCAUGCCAAAAGAUAGUCAUGGAAUGCAUGAUAUUGAGUAAAUUUCUUAAGCUAUGAAGGUAUAAAAACCCAUCAUUGUUUGAUUCUUUUAGCUUAGGUCAUAGAGGAGCAACAUCCAUAGAGGAUUUUGUUUGAAGGAGCCAGGUGCUAAUUUGGGAGAUUAAUCAGAUUCUUGAUGGAGUUUUAAAGGAUGCAUAAUCUUGGACCAGGAAGAAUUUCUUGUUGAAUCCAGAAAUUUGUGAAGUAUUUGCAGUUGCGGGAGCUUGGUCUUUGUUGUUUGUUUUUCAUACAAGGCAAGAGUCAAAGUUUAAUUCAUCAUCAUUACAAUUUACAUCCCAAAAGGUUAAGAAGGGAGAGAAUAAAUUUUAAGAAAAGCAAAGGUUGCUAUCCUGAUACACAGUGAAAAGAAGCUAAUUUCCCAGACAUAUCUACAAGAAAGCUUAGAAGCAUUUUCGAGAACAAAGCUGUACAAGCAACUAAAGUCCAAUGCUCACGAAGCUCAGAUCAGUUUUACUUCCAGCAGCUGAGAAACAACAUUUAACAACAGAAUUCCGUACCUUGGAAGCUUUACUUGUCUUGCUGUGGAUUACCAUAAAGUUGCACACAAAUUUUCGUAGAAAUCUGAAUUCCGAGUUGGCUCAUUUACAUGGCUGUUUAGGUUUCCAGAGCUUGUUAAUAUAAUGGCUAUUUGAUGUCUACACUGUAAUGUGGUGGUUGAGUGAACCUAUAUUUGAAACCAUCUUUUGAGCCAGUCUUUUUUUAUUAAUUUCAUGAGCACUAUAUGUUGCUCUUAAACGAGGUGUCAGACAUGCCAUAUGUAACUCAUUGA